UUCAGAUCCACCCAAAUUAUAGCUUUGGCUGUGAAGAAGGGUUGGAAAAAUGACUGCAUAGUGAAAAAGGUAAAGAAUGAAGAUGCCAGAUGACUUGAUGGAGGGCAGACACCCAGCCCAGGACCAGCCAGAGGAACCAGGGCAGAAGAGCACAUUUAUGGUCCUUUUUCCUGCCUUCAUUUCAGAUCCCCCCAGCGCUGUAACUCCAGCUCACAUGAGGCCUGAUUUCCUUCCUUACUCCUAUAUCCACUUCUUAUGCAAACAGCCAUGUUGAGCCACUGUAAUUAUGACAGGAACCAGACAAAUUCUCCUGAUGGUGACAAGCCCAUACUCCCCACUUCUCCCUUUUCCCAUCAAGGACAGGGAAUUUCCACUCCCCUCCACAAAGAGAAAAACUGUGGUGAGACUCUACUGGACUCCCUCCUCUGUGAAGUGACUCAGAUCUGAGCAUGCCUGGCUAGCCCAUUCCUCUUUUGCUCCAAGCUGCCUGUCUGAGCGGACACACUUACAUGCUCUCGUUAGACUCUGUGUGUGACUGCAUGCAUGGUGGGUGCAGUUAGGCAGGUCAUGGUCAGCGUAGAGAGCAGAGUAAGAGGCCUGUGUGGUGGCAUAUCAAAGCCAUGUCAUGUUCUCAAAUUAGCUUCAUCAAAAAUAAAGCUGCUAUUUUGAUAUUUA
Leopardus geoffroyi (Geoffroy's cat) is the source of this 675-nucleotide long non-coding RNA. RefSeq lists it as uncharacterized. The record is from RefSeq and is a predicted model, not a curated record. The transcript has 2 exons. Lineage: Eukaryota; Metazoa; Chordata; Mammalia; Carnivora; Felidae.